CUGUGAAGAAUCUGAGAGCUCAGAAUGAAAAGGAGAAGAAAAGGAAAAGACAAGAAUGGAAACUACCCAUGAGAAAACCAAGUGGAAUUAAAAUCCCCAAACUAAUGUCUCGUAGAGAUCACAGAAGACAGAAGAGACAUCACCUCCUGGCUUCCUGCAUUCACCUUCACCUAGAUCCCAAAGUAGCUUUUGGAGAAGUUGGUGACCCAGAAAUACUGAUGGGAGAAGAUAAUGCACCGAGGAAGCCCUGCUCUUUUGAGCCAAAGAACUGAGAAGGGGGCAGCCUAG
This is a long non-coding RNA of Sapajus apella (tufted capuchin), 288 nucleotides long. RefSeq lists it as uncharacterized. The transcript has 2 exons. The record is from RefSeq and is a predicted model, not a curated record. NCBI's taxonomy places the organism in Eukaryota, Metazoa, Chordata, Mammalia, Primates, Cebidae.